AUCCAGAUGAAUAUUUUAUAAAAGCUAAACCUGUGGUAGAACUCUCUAUAUAAAUAUAUAUAUAUACAUACACUCAUACAUAUACAAAUACUAACCCACAGACAAAAUAUUUUCUGAACAGUUGAAUAGCAACAAGUCAACAGAUAGAAAAAAAUGGAGUCAAUCUGUUUUCUGCUCCCCCAGGGUCGGGUUUAGAUGUCAUGGUCUUUUAACAUUCAGAGAAAAUUGGCGUAAACCUUGUGUCUGGCAAGAGGAAUCCAUGGAGAAAGGGAAGUGGGGCAGAAGCCCUCGAACACCAAGGUACAGUCGGACAGAUUGAGUGAGGUUGCAAAUUAAACUGGAGCAACUGAGGCCGAGUAGUGAAGAACAGUAACUGUAAACUGCAAUCUUCAGAUCUGACGGUUUCCUUCUUCUCGUUGCCGUGGCAACUCGGCAGGACAGCUUCGAAUGGCAGGAAUUCUUACAGACCUAAAGGACGGGAGAUGGGGCUGGGGCUUGUCCAGAUGGGCUGAGCAGCAAAGCAGGCACCUGGAUGGCCCUCACCUGCCUGGCCUUUCCCUGCAGCACCACAUCAGCUUUGGAAAACAAAGGUUAAGUAAAGCAAAUUAUGCAAGUGUAAGAAAUCUAUGGAGGGACUGAUAGAUGGGGCUCACUGAAGCGAGAAGUUUCACUGAGAUAUCCAAACUAGCUGAAAUCUGGAAUUGCUUGGUAUGUAGGUUUUUAGCAUGCUGCUUAAAGAAAACAUCUGGCCACAGAAUCAGGAUCCUGACUUACAUGUAGGAGAUUUAUGGCCAUGACUGCCAAAGUGUGGAUAUAUUUGGAUUAGGGAUUCCAGCUAGGACCAAAUUCUCAUAAACAACCUGAUCUCCUGGGUUGGUGCAAAGCAAGAAUUUGGGACUCUGAUCUCACAGACCACCUGAAAAAUAGCAUUUCCAGAUCUCAACGGAGCUUAGUGUCAUUAAAGGGCAUUUGUUUAAACCUGGCUCAAAAGAACUAUUGGAUUGGCAAAGCUACUCUGAAUCUUUAGGAGAUCCCUGGAGGUCUUCCUGGUAAGGACAGGCACUUGUAGAUGAUAAAUGAACAGCAGCUGAGGCACUGAAUUUCUGUACAAUCCGUAGAAACUUCACCAGAGGAAUCUGUCAGCACAAAAUUUAUAAGUAUCACACAAAUUCAAGCAGCCAGUGACUGCUUCACCAACAGCUUGUAAAUAAAGGGCAGUGUUUGGUGAUUUAUGUGCAGACCUGAAGAAAAGCUUGUAUAUUUUACAUCAUAUUGACAGAUAUAAUGAAUGUUACUCCCUUCUCAUACACCUUGCCUUUCCUGAGUAAAUGAUGUAUAAAAACUAGUUAGUUCAACCUUAAUUAUGAAUCUGUUCUUUCCUGUGCCAGUUCUUUGUGUUGAAGACCAUUUUCUCUCUCUCUCACAAUAUAAGCACUUUUUGAUCCUCCCUGUUACCCCACCUGCCUCUUCAAGCACCACCCCAUCCCUUACCCUUUUACCUCAAAGCUCUGCAGUCUCUGGCCUGACUUUCUUUCUAUUGAAAUUGCUUCUCUACUUCACCUUCCUGACCUAUCAUCCCCCUUCCACCCAUUUAAUCACAUGCCUGGAAAGCUGAAGUUCCCUUGGCUCCAGUGAUUAUCUCCUCCUGUCAUUUUACUAUGAUUUCUCUAAUCGUUUUUCCAUCGUGUCCUUCUGUCUCAUCUCUCCCUUCCAUUUUUUUUGUGAAACCCUUUUUCCCCCCACUUUAACUGCUUCCCUUUCUCUGUGACACCAUUCCUAACCCCUCAGCAACCACAUCAGUACUGACAAUCCAGAGAUCUUACUCUCUUUUCCUGCUUUUCCAUUUAGUCCAAAGUGUCAGCCUCUAGCCCUGAUACCUUUUGCAUGUUUAGCUGACAACUCUACAGAGCUAAAACUCAGCUCUUAAAUCUUUCCCCUAAAGCACUCCCUUCUAGUUCUUCCUUUGAUUGCUCAGGACAACAUUAUCAUCCUGCCUCUUGUUCAAGCCUAGAAACAGAAGCAAACGGGAGGAGGUUUUUGUCAUGGAAUCUCCUCUCCAGGUCUGUAUAUUUAGCUUAUGUCAAUCUAGAGGAUUCUUUUUCACACAUUGUCCCAAAGAGCUUUCUCUAGCCAUUCAAACAGCUAAAUCUCCUACCCAGGCUCUCCUCAGUGAGCAGGUUUGCAGCAUCUUUUCUGAGCCCUUGACAAAUUGAAGCUCCUGUGUGCUCAUACCCUGUCAGUUUUUGCUGUACAGAGCAUUUUCCUCAUCUGCCACUUUGACAAAACCUCUGCAGCUGCGACUCCUUCACGGCCUCUUCCCUACUGCACACGUGUCCCUGGAUUAUCUCUACAUGACCUGUUUUUCCUCCCAUUCAUAGCCCACGAUGGCAGCUUUCACUGACACGUUUUCAAAGAAACCUGUGAUAUGGGAGGAGCUCCCUGCAAGCCUCCAUAAAAUGCUGUCUCCUAACAGCUGCUUUUGCUGACACCUCUGCAAAACUCUUGGCCUUGGCAAAGGGGGCCAAGAGUGCUGUGAAUUCAGCUCAGCCCUUUCACCAGCCUCGGCUGAAGUUGUGUUAAAAGAAUUACCUUGUUCCAAACACUGCCUGGAAGAACAGUAGGUCUCUGCUCGUUAAUGAUGAUUGACCCUUUUGUAAAGGGGGAUUGCUGAAGGAGUGGGGUUUGCCUCUAAAAAUCAGAUUCAACCUUCAAAAUUAUGGGCUGUAAAACCUCAGUAGAUAACCAGCUUUGAUAAGUAAGAUUACACAAGUUCAAAUCUAUCUUGGCUCUUUCUAUUGCACAUAAAGGUGAUCAAAAAUUGCUUCUGUCCUAUAGAGAAGUUAGUUUAAAUUUUAGUUUCUUUGGUUUUAAUAAGAGAGUGUCAGUUACUGAUUUUUUUCCUACAAAUAGUCUGAUAUAGUUAUGUAAAUUGUUAUUGGCCAAACAUUCUGGCCAGUAACUCCCUUAACACAAAAUCUGCAGAAAUCAAGAACAACCACAGAUUGUACAGAAAAAAUCAAUGUUGAAUCUGCUGAAACCAACACAACUGCUCUGUUAUAAAAUCUGAUAAGCCUCUGGUCCAUAUUUAAAAUCUCUCUUCUCCCAGAUGGAUUUCCAAUGUCUGUUAUUUUCUCUGCAGGAAUUGUAGUUUUCUUGUUUGCUUUUCUUUUUUUUUAUUCUCCCUAUAAAGAAGGACUAAAUGAAAUUUCUAGAAAAGCACACACCCAACCAAACUAUUAGCAUCUACUUCUUAUUUGAGCUCUGUUUCUAAACAGCUAUCCUAAAGAAUCCUAGUGUUUAUCCACUACUUCAAUGGGGUUGUAUUUGUUUUUAGUUUUUUAACCUAUUCUUAUGUAUUUUAUAAUACAUGUGAUUUAAAGUUUGCAGAUGGCAACAACACAUAGAAGAUAUUAGUACUUAAAGAACACUGUGAGCAUAAAAUGUGCAAAUAAUGUGUGCAAGAGACACAUUUGCUGAUCAGGGUGAACAAUUUCUUUUAAGAAUUUAAUGCCCUAGUAAGCCUGUGCCUGGCAGAUCUGCAGAGUAAUGAUAAUUACACCUAGUAAUUAUUUUAUUUUCUUUUUAUUAGCUCUGUCUCCAUAACUGGUCUCAGCACUCAAGAAUUAUUACAACACCAUGUGUUGUUUCAGAUGUGAUUUCUGUGCCUACAACAGGUAAUUUUUUUGCCCGAAGCUGGAGACCUGCAAGCCACGAAGGUGGGGCUGCAUCUUUGCUCUCACCCGGCCACCCCUCAACUUUCCCUGAAGGGGUCUGGGGGAUGCACAAGUACCACUAAACCAGUACAUCUAUAUGGGACUUAUUUCUCCAGAAAUCUCUCCCACUGAAGUCUUUAAUGUGAUCCCCACUAAUUUUAUCUCACAGUUCUCUGCUCUACCUCUUCAACACCUGACAUACAUUUAGCCACAUUCCUUUUAAGAUAACAGUCAAACAGCAAGAUAAGAGUGAGAAAAACAGGGUUAUUGCUCUGUGUUUGCUGUCAGAAUUAUUACUGGCCUGGUUAAUGGUCUCAGAUAAGAAAGCAGAGCACAUUACAAACAGCUGGUGUCUGUUGGCACUCGUACUCUGGCAUUGGAAGAUGAUGUUUGCUUUUGCUGGUCAAGAAAACUGACAAAUGUGGUACAUGUUUCUCUGGGUCUGAUGUACUAAUAGUGUUACUAAUAGUUAAUUAAUAUUAAUAAUAAUGCUAUAGGAAUAGAGGGCUAGGUAGAUGGUUUAGGGAAGGGAGACUCGUAAUUUAGAAACUUAAAUGGAAUAAAGCCCUGUUUUUAUUUCCACUGAAGUCUGUUGAUGUUGACUGUGCUUGGAAAGUCAAAAGAGUUGUUGAUGUUGGUCACAAACUGCACAGGACAGACCUGAAUUGUCAUUGGUUUGGAAAAGGUGCAAGCCAAGUGUUUAUAAUACUGAUUUUUUUAAGGACUACAGCUACCUGCCUGUUUCACAGUGGGCUAACUCAAGGUUUACUCCUUAUGUUGAUCCCCAUGAGAGAAGAAAAUGGAGAAAAAAACCACACAGAGCACUUUAAGACAAGAUUUCGCAAUGCCCCAUCCCAGGAAAAAUGCAACUGGUAGCCUGUAACCUCAUUCACUGUGGUUCAGGUUGCCAAGAGCUCAUAUUCCAGCAGAACCCUUCCCAUCAGGCAACAAGCAACUCCUGAUCUCAGAAAAUGCUCUGGAAUGUCUCAGGGACUCCAAGCCUCCCUGCUGCAGCCUUAGCUUUCUCUGAACAUAUUUCUAUAUUAGUGAUUCAAUUCCCUACUUAUUUUAAAGAAACAGGUCUAAAUUGAGUAAUUAAAAGCCUCUGAAAGAUGUGUUUCUCCUGAGACCAAACUCACCCCCCAUUACACAGACUGUGCUUCUACACUGCAGUUAAAACCUCAUAAAAAUUAAAGGCCUUUAAGUUUCACGCUGACCCUCUGUACAGGAAUGAGCUUUAUCCACAAUGCAUUCAUCCUUUAAUUCCCAUUAAAAUAUGAGAGUUAAUGCAGCUAGAGUUUGGAGUUCAGCUCAUGCAUGCUCCAUUUCUUUCAAUUACCCUUUCAUCAGAAAUAUUAUAUUAAUUUUGCAUAAUUAGAAGCCUGCAUUACAUCAUGGACUUCAUCGAAACCCCAGUAACGCUGAAGAGGUAAUGCAAAAAUGAGAGAAGAGAUCAGAACUGUGUUUCUGAUUAGGCAGCUAAUCAACACCCAGGCACUUCUUUCCUGGAUUUACCUACUAUAAAAGGUCAUUAAUUAGAUACACAGUUAUUAGUUUAGCCUUCAUGUAGAACUUAGAGAAAUAUAAAUGAUUUUCAUGUGCAUCACUGGUUGAUUAGUCACCUGUAGUUUUCAACACCAGAAGUUUCACGGUGUCUGCACCAUAUGCCUUUAAAUUAUAUUUCACCCCAAAUCUCAUUGAAUUUGAAAGACUGAAACAACAAUUCCCAGGUGGAUACCCUGUGUCCUCAUUCCUGCACUUGAGAACUUUGGGGUUAGUUGUCAGCCAGAGCAGAAGGUAUGAUGAUUGUGGCUGGAGAAACUGGUGAUCUCACCGGGCAGCAACACCCUGGGGAAAAGUUUAUAAGGAACUUUUAAACUUUUAUGAGGAACUCAUUUACAGCAGUAAAUGAGUUUAUCCCAAAAAUUUGCAGCUAAUGACAUAAUAUAUAAUUUGUUUUCCAUUUAUGUGAGAAAUGAUUUCAAAGUUCUUAAUGACAGGAAAAACACUGUCUGCAUUAGUGCUGCGUGUGAAAUGAGUGUCUCAUGACUGCACUCACAGCUCCAGUGGGCUCUCGUAUAUCAAUGUCAAUAUUUAACUCCAGGAACUAAAAUGCUGGCACGUGCUAUGCAAGUGGCCACAAUUGGCAAGACAGUGGAGAACACAUGCCAAUCCAAACUAAUCAGCCUGCACAGGGGAAUAAGUUGCUCAGGCUGAAGCCAUUUUCACCAGGUACGUCUUUGACACCAGCAGAUGGUAUUUCCAAGAGUGGCUCUCCCACUCCUAACUAAUUUAUUAUAAGACUGUAGUGGCAGAUCUGAAGCAGGGCUGAUGUACCACAAAGUGCUCUUCUGGCUCCUGGCAGUGGCCCUGCUCACUGCUGCUCCUGGUUUCUGCUUCCCCUCCUCCUUGUUGUGUACCCACAUCCACUCACCACGGAACGAGCUGGUCCCAAGGAAUGUAUAAAAGAAGCACCAUCCCAGAGAAAAGCUGUUCAGAUGAAGUAAAAUUCUAACUCUGCUUAGAAAUUCAGAAGCAUGUUCCACCCAGCCCAGUGCACUGCUACAUUUAUCAAAUAAAGCAUCUUCUAAUGAAAUUCCUGUUCACCGGGGAUAUGAAGUAUCUUACUGGGGAUGGGGGCAUUUUCUAGGGCAGAGUCACUAAGAUGUACUAGAUGAUUAUUUUUUUUAAAAUUGAUAUGAAUUUUAGUUGGAUACUUUGCCAAAGCAAUGUCACGUUCAUUUAACCAAUAGGCAAUAAAUGCUUCCUUCAUUUUCCAGUUCCAUCAAAACUAAACAAUUGCAGAGGUGGCUGCCUGCAGCCUGGACCUGUAUUUUCUUCUGCCCUAAUCUGAUAGAUUUAUCUGAAUGCUUGAAAAUAUUCAGCAAAUGAAAUGAAUAAGUACAGGUUUGAAAUAGCAGCAUUGAACAAGUCUCCUGAUUUUUCAUAUUUAUGCUGAAAAAUGAAAUGCAUCAAAACGUACCCGUGAGCCAACCUUUUAAAGGAGUGGGUAACUGCUCAGGCAGGCAGAGCUCACCUUCCACAGCAGCACAGCUUAGUUCACCAUCAGUUUUAAAUAAGUAGAACAUGAACAUAAGUAGUCCAGACACAUUCAGUUCUGUAGGUAUAGGCUAAUCCCAGCUUGAAAUGCUAAAAUAAUCAUCUGAAGAAAUUCAUUUUAAGUAAGAAUAAAAUAGAAAAAAAAUGUGAGGAGAGAAUAAUGCUCAUAAGCCAGAGAAAAGGGAAAAUCAAAUGAGAAAACCUGCCUGUUUCAAAGUUUGUGAAGAGCUAUUCAUAAGCAUGGCACUCACAUAAGCACUAACUAAUGACAUAUCCAAAUUAAACAUAUGGAUGAAGCAAGGCUUUAAGAUGCAGUCUGAAAUGCUCCAAACAUGAAUGGCCCUUUAAAGGACUUUGUAAGUAAAGAAGCAGCAAACCCAACAUCAUCUUAGGCACAAAAAAAAAAAUCUCCUCCAUUUAUGUUUAGUAUCACAUCUAAAACUAACAGCAAGCAAUUGAGUUGUUUGGACGUUAUAGAGUGGGGAAAUACCCAAGGACAGGGACAGUUCAAAGAAACAAACACCCCAUGGUGUACAGGGCCCACUGAGGACAGAAAAAAUACUUGGUCAUUUAUUCAGUUCUAGUUUUUAAGUCAUAGGCCACUCCAGAACAAUUCAAUAUUUAUGUGCCUUUAAGAGGUUGUUCAGCAAAGAAAUACAAAAUAUUAUAUCUCAUCAGUAACUGCAGAGUACUGUUGAGAAAAUGAAAACACAAAAGUGUUCAUUUGAAUUCACAACACUAAAUGGUCUAUCAAACCAAUCUCUUUAAAUGUCCAUUUCAUGCCUACAGAAUGACCAUCAGGAACAAUAUUGCAGCUCUUAGGAAGGAGCUGUAUUUGCUGGAAACAUUGUUCUCUUUUGCACUCCAAACACACAUCUUCUAAACUGUUGUAUUUUUUUUCAUGUCUGUACUUCUGGAACGUGUUUGGAUGGUUUAAAAUGUGUAUAAAAUGCCAUUUCCCACCUAAUUGACUCAAUAAAAUGUAAUGUCAUUAAGCACA
Molecule: long non-coding RNA, 7773 nt
Organism: Pipra filicauda (Wire-tailed manakin)
Lineage: Eukaryota; Metazoa; Chordata; Aves; Passeriformes; Pipridae
Exons: 2
Source: RefSeq, a predicted model, not a curated record